CGCUGGCGGUAGGCUUAACACAUGCAAGUCGUGCGAGAAAAUAUCUUCGGAUAUGAGUAGAGCGGCGGACGGGUGAGUAACGCGUAGGAAUCUACCUAGUAGAAGGGGAUAGCCCGGGGAAACUCGGAUUAAUACCGUAUACCUCCUUUGGGAGAAAGAAGGCCUCUCUUUGAAGCUUUCGCUAUUAGAUGAGCCUGCGUAAGAUUAGCUUGUUGGUGAGGUAAAGGCUCACCAAGGCGACGAUCUUUAGCGGGUCUGAGAGGACGAUCCGCCACAUUGGGACUGAGACACGGCCCAGACUCCUACGGGAGGCAGCAGUGGGGAAUAUUGGACAAUGGGCGCAAGCCUGAUCCAGCCAUACCGCGUGUGUGAAGAAGGCCCUAGGGUUGUAAAGCACUUUAAGUUGGGAAGAAAAGUUAUUGGUUAAUACCCAAUAACCGUGACAUUACCAUCAGAAUAAGGACCGGCUAAUUCCGUGCCAGCAGCCGCGGUAAUACGGAAGGUCCAAGCGUUAAUCGGAAUUACUGGGCGUAAAGCGCGCGUAGGUGGUUUAUUAAGUUGGAUGUGAAAUCCCCGGGCUCAACCUGGGAACUGCAUCCAAAACUGAUUCACUAGAGUACGAUAGAGGGAGGUAGAAUUCACAGUGUAGCGGUGGAAUGCGUAGAUAUUGUGAAGAAUACCAAUGGCGAAGGCAGCCUCCUGGAUCUGUACUGACACUAAGGUGCGAAAGCGUGGGUAGCGAACAGGAUUAGAUACCCUGGUAGUCCACGCCGUAAACGAUGUCAACUAGCUGUUGGAGAACUAUGUUCUUCAGUGGCGCAGCUAACGUAGUAAGUUGACCGCCUGGGGAGUACGGCCGC
Molecule: ribosomal RNA, 860 nt
Filed under: uncultured Gammaproteobacteria bacterium
Lineage: Bacteria; Pseudomonadati; Pseudomonadota; Gammaproteobacteria
Description: bacterial SSU rRNA
Rfam family: Bacterial small subunit ribosomal RNA
Source: RNAcentral